UGGGGAAUCUUGGACAAUGGGCGCAAGCCUGAUCCAGCCAUGCCGCGUGAGUGAAGAAGGCCUUCGGGUUGUAAAGCUCUUUUGUCAGGGACGAUAAUGACGGUACCUGAAGAAUAAGCCCCGGCAAACUUCGUGCCAGCAGCCGCGGUAAUACGAAGGGGGCUAGCGUUGUUCGGAUUUACUGGGCGUAAAGCGUACGUAGGUGGAUAGUUAAGUGAGAGGUGAAAUCCCAGGGCUCAACCCUGGAACUGCCUUUCAUACUGGUUAUCUCGAGUUCGGAAGAGGUGAGUGGAAUUCCAAGUGUAGAGGUGAAAUUCGUAGAUAUUUGGAAGAACACCGGUGGCGAAGGCGGCUCACUGGUCCGAUACUGACACUGAGGUACGAAAGCGUGGGGAGCAAACA
RNAcentral lists this ribosomal RNA (402 nucleotides) under uncultured Alphaproteobacteria bacterium. RNAcentral describes it as "bacterial SSU rRNA". It matches the Rfam family "Bacterial small subunit ribosomal RNA", at positions 355 to 774 of the family's 1533-position model. The record is from RNAcentral. Lineage: Bacteria; Pseudomonadati; Pseudomonadota; Alphaproteobacteria.